UGAUUUUGAUUUGUGAAAAACUAGAUUAUUUGUUUAUUUUGUGGAAAACAUUUUUAAUGACUUUUUGUUAUGAUGAGCCACAAUAUAUUGUGGAAGACAUACUUCUAUCUUUAUUUUUUUUUUCUUUUUUCUUUUUGGGUUGGAUAUAUGCUUUUGUCAUUAGUGUGCAAAAUACAUUAUGGUAUGAGAAAUGAUGAAGUUAUUUUUUCUUUUGUCAAUGGUUAAUGUAAAUUAUCUCCACUUUGUUUCAAUUUUCUUUGUGCACUGGAAUCAGAUGCCAACUCACUAAAGAAACAAGUGUAUGUCAUAACUCGCCUAGAAAGAACACACAUAUACGGUAUACAAGUCAUGCUAGAUGUCCAUGGAAUAGGAUGUAGUUUGGAUUGAAAUGAUGAAUUUGAUUCAUCCACGUGAUAGUCACAUGAGUUUAUUCACCACAAGGGUUAAAGUGACGUGUCACACCACAGGGACCAAGAAAAAAAAUUGACCAAAAAUAAAUAUUAAAUUAUUUAAACAUUUUUCCCAAUAAAUGUGGGACCCACCCCUACAAACUCACCACCCUAACCCUUCUUCCCCAGUCCACCUGUCUCCCCCAGUCCACCGUUCUCCCCUAACCUUUUUUCCUUCACCACCAAAACCAAAGCCCCUCCCAAACCCCCGCCCUUGUCCACCAAUCACUACCUUCUCUCCCUGGACCACCCAGCUCGAAUGGAGUCUCAGUGCACCACCCAGCUCAAACUCCUCUCUUACCUCCAAUCACAAAUCGUCCCCUCCACCUUUCUUGGACCCCAAACUCAACCCCACAAACCCGAUUGAACUCAUUCUCCCUUCGACCCCAGAACACUAGUGUAGCCGCCUCCUGUCCCCUGAGGAAGACGAACAUGAAAAAGACGAAGAAGCCUUAAAGCCUUCCCGAGCUUCUCGCCACUCUAAGUCCUUGUGGGAAUUCAUUUCCUUCUCUAAAAUAGUAGCCCAAGAACAUGCUCACUGGAGCACCACCUUCAUCGAUUUCAAGAUCUCCAAAGCCUUGCAGCAAUAAUCAAUCCCCAGUGUCGUUGCCCAAGAUGAUGCUAGCUCUGAAUUCGAAUCUAAACCGGAAUCCGACAAACAGGAAGAUUAGGAAGAUUGUUGUCGUUGCCCAAAACUUCCCCAGUGUCGUUGCCCAAGAUGAUGCUAGCAUGAUUGUAUGCGCAAAGAUUGACAAACACACCACCGCGUGUUCGAAAUAUAAGGGAAAGAAAAAGAUGGAUGCACGUGGAUUUGCUUGUGGCGGUGGCAAAGGAGUCAAAGGGGCGUAGCAACAGAGCCCACCCAGUUUGCAAAAUUUCAGGAUUUGAUUUGUUUGAGUAAAUUAAAUUGGGGACCAAAAUGGUAAAGUAAUAGGUAGUCAAUAAUUUGGGCUGAAGAGCAGCAGGGAGAGAGGGUGGUGAUUGGCAGGUGAGGUAGGUGACGGGGGAGUGAGUUCUGGUUUUGGUGGUGAAGGAAGGAAGGUUCAGCAAAGACGGAUAGAUUGAGGAAGAAGGGUGAGUUUGUAGUGGUGGGCUCCGCAUUUUUUAAUAAAAAUAUUAAAAUAUUAAAAUGAUUUAA
This is a long non-coding RNA of Pyrus x bretschneideri (Chinese white pear), 1587 nucleotides long. RefSeq lists it as uncharacterized. The record is from RefSeq and is a predicted model, not a curated record. The transcript is spliced from 2 exons. NCBI's taxonomy places the organism in Eukaryota, Viridiplantae, Streptophyta, Magnoliopsida, Rosales, Rosaceae.